This 491-nucleotide ribosomal RNA is filed under the name uncultured bacterium. Its description in RNAcentral is "partial 16S ribosomal RNA". It matches the Rfam family "Bacterial small subunit ribosomal RNA", at positions 29 to 506 of the family's 1533-position model. The record is from RNAcentral.
AGUGAACGCUGGCGGUAGGCCUAACACAUGCAAGUCGAACGGCAGCACAGUAAGAGCUUGCUCUUACGGGUGGCGAGUGGCGGACGGGUGAGGAAUACAUCGGAAUCUACUUUUUCGUGGGGGAUAACGUAGGGAAACUUACGCUAAUACCGCAUACGACCUACGGGUGAAAGCAGGGGAUCUUCGGACCUUGCGCGAUUGAAUGAGCCGAUGUCGGAUUAGCUAGUUGGCGGGGUAAAGGCCCACCAAGGCGACGAUCCGUAGCUGGUCUGAGGGGAUGAUCCACCCCACAGGAAGUAGGAAACGGGCCAGAUCCCACGGGGGGGCCGCAGUGGGAAAGUUGGACCAUGGGGCGAAAGCCUGACCCAUCCACACCGGGGGGGAGAAGAAGGCCUUCGGGUUUAAAACCCCUUUGGUGGGAAAAAAAAAGCAGCAGGUUAAAACCCCGCUGUUCGGACGUUCCCCAAAGAAAAAGCACCGGCAAACUCCUG